RNAcentral lists this ribosomal RNA (253 nucleotides) under uncultured bacterium. RNAcentral's name for it is "partial 16S ribosomal RNA". It matches the Rfam family "Bacterial small subunit ribosomal RNA", at positions 524 to 776 of the family's 1533-position model. The record is from RNAcentral.
UACGGGGGGGGCAAGCGUUGUUCGGAAUUACUGGGCGUAAAGGGCUCGUAGGCGGCCAACUAAGUCAGACGUGAAAUCCCUCAGCUUAACUGGGGAACUGCGUCUGAUACUGGAUGGCUUGGAUUCGGGAGAGGAAUGCGGGAUUCCAGGUGUAGCGGUGAAAUGCGUAGAUAUCUGGAGGAACACCGGUGGCGAAGGCGGCAUUCUGGACCGAUAUUGACGCUGAGGAGCGAAAGCCAGGGGAGCAAACGGG